This is a long non-coding RNA of Antechinus flavipes (yellow-footed antechinus), 4344 nucleotides long. RefSeq lists it as uncharacterized. The transcript is spliced from 5 exons. The record is from RefSeq and is a predicted model, not a curated record. Lineage: Eukaryota; Metazoa; Chordata; Mammalia; Dasyuromorphia; Dasyuridae.
UUGCGCAUGUUAUCAGUUGGAGGGGGAUGGAAAUGGGACGUGUUUCUCAUUUUGUGCUCUUUAUGAAACCUUUCAUUUUAAACUCAAGACUCACUUAAAUUGUAGGGCCUUGCCUACAGGUUUUUUUUUUUUUUUUUUACUAUCUUGCUAGCUGUAUUUCAAAAUAAUUGGUUUUCUUUCUAAUGUUAAGUAUCUUAGACAUUUAAAAGCAUCCAGAGAGAGGGUACUUGGAACCCCAACCUAGAUUGUCUCUGUCUCCCAGCUAGGAUUAUUGCGAGGGCAACGCAUCCUCCAGAUGAGGAGGAGGGACAGGAAAAGGGUAAGGUGACUGAGUGGAGGACCCGGAAAAAUGACUGAGGAGGGGGGCGGUGGGAGCAGCUGCCAAGGACUGUCGCGAAAGGGCCGGCCCGCGUCAACCGGUGUGACCGCUUUGCGACAAAUGCCUGAAACCGAUUCGGCCCGUCUUCGUUUUCUCUGGUCCGCCAGCGUCGAGGCCACAUUUUCCUUUUGGGGAGGGAAAAUCUGGAUGCAAGUGGAGGAAGAAGUGGGGUUGGCAAGUUGAAUGGCUUAAUUUAUUUGGUCAUUUAGCAGCAUGCAAACGCAGAAUCCAGGAAUGCCCUAAAAGCUCAACUUAGAAGACAUGCUAUUGCAUAGUAGAACUGCUUAGAUUGGGGCAGAAGAGGUAAAGCAUGAGAUGGAGUCUGCUGGAUUUGCUGAGGCAGCAUUUGGUACAAAAAAGAACAUCUGCUAAAUCUAAUUGAAAAACUAAAGGUGCUGCACAAUUCUUCAACCUAGGAACAUCCAUAAUGGAUCUGUCACCUUAUUACAGUCAUAUGGACUUUGUAAUCAUUUGCUUCUAAAUGUAGCAUUUAAUUGCAAUUGUUAUAAACAUUUCUGAAUGUUCCUGCUACUUAGUAAUGGAGUUAACAAUUUAAUGCAUUAUUAAAUUUAUCCCAAAUAGAAAUUAUACUUUUUAAAGAAACUGCAUAAAAGUUUUUAAAACAUAUACUAUGCGCCACAGAAUAUGUACUUUUUAAAAUUUGGACCUGUUAGGCAACUUUCUAAAAAAACUGAUGUGAUCAGUUAUAUUUAACUAGGUAAACUUAAUAGAACACUAGUCACUAUUUGCCAAACAAGAUGAACAGGCUUUAUGAGACUGGUGAUAGUUAUUAUCUUUGGAUAUAUACUACAUUGCUGUAAUUAAUUUGGCUUUAUAAUAGUGUUCCAAAUAAACCAUUUUAUAAGUAAUUGUCUAAAAACUUUUCUUAAAUUUUAUUAAAGUAUAAAAAUUUCUGAUGUUAUGAUGGAUGAAAUAAGGCUCUAUGGAAGUGAAAUCCGAGUAGAGAAAAUAUUUCAAAUAAAUUAAAUUUUGUAGAGGUUGAAAGCGUCUUUUGCAGCGAAAAGGCAUGUGUGGAAGUCAACCCAAGGUUUUAAAUUUUUUUCUGCAAACUACACCCCCCAAAAAAACUGUAUCCUUUCUCACAGUUAUUUCCUACUACUAAAAAAAUUAAAAGUACACACUUACCUUUUACUUCUGCGUCAAACUUAACUCAUGGACUUAGUGCAGCAUCUCCGAAUCUCCCUUUCUUGCCCACACCAGAAGUUGAAGGGCUGGCCACUCUCUAGUCUGAUUCCACUCUGAUCAGUACAGACACUUUCACUAUCUCCAUUUCUAUCCUGAACUUUUUAGUCCAAGCCUCUUAGAUCCCACAAGUUCACCACUUUAAUGCUGGGAUUAGUGCAGAUACCCAAAUGCCUUAGUCUAAGACAGCUUGUAACUCUCAAACUCAAUAGAUCCAUUUAGCCUCUGCCUGCCUCUCCAGGGACUGAUAUUAUAUGUAUGUGCCAUCACACACAGAAGACAUUUCCUUUCAUGCAGUAACUAGAGUCAGAGAAUUAACAUUUGAUGUCUUUAAUAUCAUCAUAACUAGUUACAAAAGAUCAUAUGAAAUUAUUUAAAAUUGUUUACACUGAAGUUACAUUGCUUAUUUAAAAUACAUUAACAAUGAUCAGUCAGGAGGCAGCAUGGUACAGUGGAAAGAACAGAUUUGGAGUCAUAAGAUGUGGGGUUCAAAUCCCAACUACAUAACCUUGAGCAAGUCAAGUUGCUUGAACUAAAUGGCCUCUAAGGAACUUUCAAGCUCUAAAUCUAUGAUCCUAUGAUUCCAUGUUUUAAGAAAAACAUUACAGAAGUAAUAAUAAAUCUGUUGGCAAAUGGCCUUAGCCUUGUUAACAGCAACAUAGUCUGAUAAUUGUAUCACACAUAAUUUGCUCUAAAGUAGGACCACUGUGAACUUCACCUAAAAAUAGCUAUUUUUGAAAAUAGCAGAAAGAUCUUUGUUUUCACCUAUAAUAGUUUCCAAAAAAAAAAAAAAAAAAAGAAAAAAAAAAAAAAGACCUUGUCUCUAGUGUACAGAGAAUAAGCAUAUAAUCUCAACAGAUCAUUCAAUGGUCUUUAUGUAUCUGUAAUUUAAAAGACAUAAAAUCGUGGUUUUUUUCCUACUUUGUAAUAAUCAAUUGUGUUUUAUGAAUUUAAGUUCUGAAUUUCAGUAAGCACUUGAACAAGAUUCUUGCUUUUUUUUUGCAUGCUUAGUUAAUUCAUAAAAGGUUUUUUUAUCCAAUUGAAUUUUAAAAACAAAAUCAUUAGCUCCAAAAUGCGUGAAAAUUCUCAUAAGUUAUGAAGUAUAUAUAUUUAUAUUUUUAAAAUUAUGGCUUACAGUUGCUUCUUAUUAAGUGAGUCCUUAUGUAUUCUGAGGGGGGAUCCUAGUUCUAAAGAUUUGCUCUACAAAAAGAAUUCUUGACCUUUUGUGUGUCAUGGACCCUCUUCUCAGAUAUUUUAAAUGCAUAAAAUAAAAUACAGAUUUACAAAAGGAAACAAUUAUAUUGAAAAAUAAUAAUCCAUUUUUUCCCAACCUGCUCUAGAAAGGAAUUAGAGAACAUUAUAAUCAAUUUUGUCAGAAACUUCCCUCACAGAUACUUUUUAAAUUUGGGGUAUCUGAUCCUAGAAGUGAAUAAAAUAAUUGGGCUUCCUAAUGCCUGCUAAGCCCUUGAAUCAAAUGAGUGCCCUAUAGCUAUCUGACAAAAAACUAUACCUUGGCAACCCCCAAAGCCUCUUUUCAUAUACAUAAAGAAAAGCAAGGAAGCCACUUAAUAUUUAGUAAAUACAACUCAUUAAUUAAAUAACUACUUAUAAAUUUUAAAAGUCAUUAAAAAAAAAAACAAAUGGCCCUCGCUGUCACUUAUACAGCUCUGCCAACCUAAGUCAAAUACUUUUUUUUUUCAGUUCAAUACCUAAAAGUUUAUUCCAUUUUAUAUAUAUGCUUCAAAAUUUUUUGUAUAGUGAGCUAGAGUAACCACAAGCAGAAUGAACAGAAAUAACACUUGCAGAACACUGUUAACAUGAAACACAACAGUUAAACUCCUACAAAACAUUAAAUACCAAUCAUAACUUGAAUAUAGUGAUCAAAAGCAGACUCAAAGUACCUGGCAUAUAAUAAAUGCUCCCUGACUGACUCAAAGUCCACUUCAGAAACCUUAAGACACAAGAGGUCUGUCUCCCCCCACCCAUCCACCCUCCGCCACCCCCCACAAAACAAAAAUAUACUUCCCACUGCUGUAAAUGGAAUAAAAGCACAAAUUUUAUGUACACAGAUUGAAAAAUCUAUCAUACCUACAACUUUGUUAUCAAAAAAUCGAUCUUCCAGUCAGUCUUCUAUUAAGACUUUUUCAUGUUGUAAAGCAACAAUCCAUACUCCUUAUGGAGCAGAAAUGUGAAACUACAAUACACAGAUUAGAAUCUUACAAAAAUGCAAAUAUUUGACCUUAUCCUGACAAAAAUGGGACUGCCCUCAUUUACAGUCCAUAUGUACACAGCGCAAUCAAAAGAAUUUUUUAAAAAUUAAAAGAUUCCCCUGAAAAUCACGUGUCAAAAUGUUACAAAACUGUUAAGACUAGAUUCAUGACUAAUAGUUUUAUAGAAUCUCAAUAAUGAAAGGCACCUCAGACCAUCUAGUCUAACCAUUAUCUUAAAAGUAUUUUUUAUUAUACCCAAGGACUUGUUGCUCAUUUACCAUUAGGAAGUUUUCCCUAUAUUGGGCCUAAAUCUGGCUCUACUACUUCUACCACUCACUCUCUCAUUUGCCCUUUGGUGUCAAGCAGGUCAAAUCUAAUACCUUCCCUCUAUGUGAUAGUACUCAAAUAUUUCAACUGUUGUAUUUCUCCUAAGUUUUAUCAUCUUUUCUAUUCUUAGCAUCCCCAGGCCCUUCCACUAGUCUUCAUGUGGUAUUUGAUUCAAUUUGAACAGGCUCAGAACUUCUUUCUCAGCAGGUGGAGUGAAGAACCGAU